UCUGAAAUAAAGAUGAAAUGAGGGUUUUG
RNAcentral lists this non-coding RNA (29 nucleotides) under Rattus norvegicus (Norway rat). Lineage: Eukaryota; Metazoa; Chordata; Mammalia; Rodentia; Muridae. The record is from RNAcentral.